UUCCGUAGGUGAACCUGCGGAAGGAUCAUUACCGAGUGAGGGUCCCCUCUGGGGGCCCAACCUCCCACCCGUGUCUACUGUACCAUGUUGCUUCGGCGGGCGCGCCCGUGCCCGCCGGAGACCCCUUGAACGCUGUUGUGAAUUAAGGUUGUCUGAGUGAGAUUGCAAACUGUCAAAACUUUCAACAACGGAUCUCUUGGUUCCGGCAUCGAUGAAGAACGCAGCGAAAUGCGAUAAGUAAUGUGAAUUGCAGAAUUCCGUGAAUCAUCGAAUCUUUGAACGCACAUUGCGCCCCCCGGCAUUCCGGGGGGCAUGCCUGUCCGAGCGUCAUUGCCACCCCUCAAGCACGGCUUGUGUGUUGGGCCGCCGUCCCCGCCGACUUCCGGGGGGGACGGGCCCGAAAGGCAGCGGCGGCACCGCGUCCGGUCCUCGAGCGUAUGGGGCUCUGUCACCCGCUCUGGAGGCCUGACCGGCGCCUGCCCACCCGUCGAUCUUUCCAGGUUGACCUCGGAUCAGGUAGGGAUACCCGCUGAACUUAAGCAUAUCAAUAAGCGGAGGAAAAGAAACCAACAGGGAUUGCCUCAGUAACGGCGAGUGAAGCGGCAAGAGCUCAA
This 614-nucleotide ribosomal RNA is filed under the name Rasamsonia aegroticola. RNAcentral's name for it is "eukaryotic LSU rRNA". The stretch from base 177 to 330 matches the Rfam family "5.8S ribosomal RNA". The record is from RNAcentral. Lineage: Eukaryota; Fungi; Ascomycota; Eurotiomycetes; Eurotiales; Trichocomaceae.